AAUUACACAACAUUUUAAUUUUAUCAAAGAUGGCAAAGAUGAGCAAAGAUGAGUGAGAUCAAAACAUUAUUGAUUAAAAUUUGGCCAAUCCUUAUCUUUGGUUAUGUUUGGUAAAAAACAUAGAGCUUAAAAAUCUUUUGAUAUUUUUUAAUAUAAUAUUAAUAUAUAUAAAAACAAAAAAAAGUAUUAAACCAUAACUUGAUUAAUUAGUGGAUACUUAAUUAUUAAUUUAAUCAAAUAUAUAAUGUGUUACUCUACAAGAGCAUGUAAGUGUAAAAAAUCUAUGGUUACGAAUUCAACUUCAAGACGUGCAUUUAAUAAAAAGAAAAAUAAGCAUUAUGAUGAUGACCAUGAUGACACAGAAAAUUCGAUGAUUGAUAUUGUUAAUGAUGAUUGCCUGGCUCAAAUAUUCAUGUAUCUGGCAGCAUGUGAAAGACCUAAAAUUGCUUUGGUAUGUAAAAAAUGGAAAGAAGCCCUUAAUUAUUCUUGGCAUAAUAUUAAAAAACUUGAUCUAAUUCAUUGGGAAUAUGAGUGUCCAACUUACUCAUACAAAUAUCAUAAAAUCAAUGGACAAUUAAGGUUUUUGAGAUCACUGCUUGAUAAUUGUGGUCGUUAUAUAAAAGAAUUAGAUGUGACAUCCUAUGGUCAUUAUAACAUAGUGCCAGUUAUUAAUGAAUCUUGUCCAAGCCUUGUAAAACUUCGGUUGAGAUUCAAGGAUGCUGAACCAAGAUCAUUAGUUAAUGCAUUUUCACGUCUAUCUAAAUUGAAGCGUUGCUCAUACAUUAACUGAACUGACUCUGUCAAAUUGGAACAGAGAAAAUUUUUAUGAAAGCUGGAGAAUUUCAAAAACAUUCAUUCGCGUGUUUCUUAAACUAAAAGCCUUGAAAUCAAUUGAAACUGAUGGCAUAUUCAUUGAUACUGACUCACACAUGUAUCUGAAACAACUUGGAAUAGUAGUCAUCAGUCACGAUAGUC
Molecule: unclassified non-coding RNA, 975 nt
Filed under: Aphidius gifuensis
Lineage: Eukaryota; Metazoa; Arthropoda; Insecta; Hymenoptera; Braconidae
Description: uncharacterized LOC122854141, transcript variant X1
Source: RNAcentral